AAUAUUGGACAAUGGGCGCAAGCCUGACCCAGCCAUGCCGCGUGAGUGAUGAAGGCCCUAGGGUUGUAAAGCUCUUUCAACGGCGAAGAUAAUGACGGUAACCGACGAAGAAGCCCCGCCUAACUUCGCGCCAUCAGCCGCGGUAAUACGAAGGAGGCUAGCGUUGUUCGGAAUUACUGGGCGUAAAGCGCACGUAGGCGGAUUGGUCAGUUAGGGGUGAAAUCCCAGGGCUCAAACCUGGAACUGCCUUUAAUACUGCCGGUCUAGAGUUCGAGAGAGGUGAGUGGAAUUCCGAGUGUAGAGGUGAAAUUCGUAGAUAUUCGGAGGAACACCAGUGGCGAAGGCGGCUCACUGGCUCGAUACUGACGCUGAGGUGCGAAAGCGUGGGGAGCAAACAG
This 398-nucleotide ribosomal RNA is filed under the name uncultured bacterium. RNAcentral's name for it is "partial 16S ribosomal RNA". It matches the Rfam family "Bacterial small subunit ribosomal RNA", at positions 360 to 775 of the family's 1533-position model. The record is from RNAcentral.